Long non-coding RNA from Globicephala melas (long-finned pilot whale), 481 nucleotides. RefSeq lists it as uncharacterized. The record is from RefSeq and is a predicted model, not a curated record. Lineage: Eukaryota; Metazoa; Chordata; Mammalia; Artiodactyla; Delphinidae.
GUAACCUAGACCCUUAUCCCUGAGCGGUCUGAGUCCCUGAUUAUAAUGUCCUUCUUAGGCCAUGCCUGCUGCAUUUGCCCAUUUAUCAGCAAAAUUGGGCAAGGGAGAACCAAGUGACGUCUAAGAGGAUCACCGGCAUGCCGUCCACGAUCUUUUUUGCCAUCAUUGCAUAACAGCAGACUCAUCUUCUCCUAAAGAUCAGGGUCUUUUCCUGCUGGUUUCUCAGCAUGAAAAAAUUCAAGAAGAUGGGCGGAAAUAUUCACCCUCUGGGAGAGCCAGAACCUCUAAAUCUGCAGAGUCCAGAACUGUGGAGCAGGAAGCACAAGUUUCCAAAGUGGACCACUUGGGAUUGUGAUGCCACCGUGCUCUCAUCAGCCUCUGGCCCACCAUCUCCUUGAGGUGCUUUACGGAACUUCCGCCAUCCUGUUUGUGAAGCAGAAACCUGUGCUGGGACAGCCCUGUUCUGAGCAGAAAGGAGGAC